RNAcentral lists this non-coding RNA (30 nucleotides) under Rattus norvegicus (Norway rat). The record is from RNAcentral. Lineage: Eukaryota; Metazoa; Chordata; Mammalia; Rodentia; Muridae.
UGGAAAUUUCACGGUUGUCCAGUAUCUUAA